ACUGCUCAGUAACACGUGGCUAAUCUGCCCUUAGGACGAGAACAACCCCGGGAAACUGGGGCUAACUCUUGAUAGGCGAAGAACUCUGGAAUGAGUCUUUACCUAAAAAGAUUCACGUUAUCCUCGUGAACCUGCCUAAGGAUGAGGCCGCGACCGAUCAGGUUGUUGGCGAGGUAAUGGCUCACCAAGCCUUUUACCGGUGCGGGCCGUGGGAGCGGGAGCCCGGAGAUGGGUACUGAGACAAGGACCCAGGCCCUACGGGGCGCAGCAGUCGCGAAACCUUUGCAAUACACGAAAGUGUGACAGGGCUAUCCCGAGUGCCAUCCGCUGAGGAAGGCUUUUACCCAGUCUAGAACGCUGGGGGAAUAAGGAGAGGGCAAGUCUGGUGUCAGCCGCCGCGGUAAUACCAGCUCUCCGAGUGGUGUGGAUGUUUAUUGGGCCUAAAGCAUCCGUAGCUGGCUAGGUAAGUCCCUUGUUAAAUCCACCGAAUUAAUCGUUGGAUCGCGGGGGAUACUGCUUGGCUAGGGGACGAGAGAGGCAGACGGUAUUCUCGGGGUAGGGGUGAAAUCCUAUAAUCCCGGGAAGACCACCAGUGGCGAAGGCUGUCUGCUAGAACGCGCCCGACGGUGAGGGAUGAAAGCUGGGGGAGCGAACCGGAUUAGAUACCCGGGUAGUCCCAGCUGUAAACGAUGCAGACUAGGUGUUUGAACGGGCCACGUGCCGUUCUAGUGCCGCAGGAAGCUGUUAAGUCUGCCGCCUGGGGAGUACGAUCGCAGAUUGAACUUAAAGGAAUUGGCGGGGGAGCAC
RNAcentral lists this ribosomal RNA (807 nucleotides) under uncultured archaeon. RNAcentral describes it as "bacterial SSU rRNA". It matches the Rfam family "Archaeal small subunit ribosomal RNA", at positions 85 to 879 of the family's 1478-position model. The record is from RNAcentral.